CCAGUGACAGGGCGGGGUUGUCAAUCCCAUCUUUGGGGUUAAAUUCAAAUUUUAUGAUGGAUGCUUUGUCGCCCUCGAGCCCUGCAGAGGGAGAGGAGAGGUCAGCGCAGAGGGUAGGGAGCUGGGAGCAGAGCUGGGUGCUCAGGGCUCACCUGUUCACACGGUGUGCAGGGUCUGCACAGCCCCUCAGGACUUUUGGGUGGGGGUGAGGAG
This 213-nucleotide long non-coding RNA is filed under the name Gallus gallus (chicken). Lineage: Eukaryota; Metazoa; Chordata; Aves; Galliformes; Phasianidae. The record is from RNAcentral.